This 419-nucleotide long non-coding RNA is filed under the name Chelonoidis abingdonii (Abingdon island giant tortoise). Its description in RNAcentral is "lncRNA (ENSCABG00000021637.1)". The record is from RNAcentral. Lineage: Eukaryota; Metazoa; Chordata; Testudines; Testudinidae.
GGGACAGGAGUCUGGAGAGCACUUUAAUACACUACACCUGCAACCCAGAUGGUGCAGGGCCAGAGGCAUCUGCUGCAGAUGGUGCUGCGCCUGUAAAAUUUAAGUGCAAAAUGACCCAGCUGUAGAUAUGGCUGUGCCUCCUUCAUGCCGAGCUGUUAACCUGGAGAUGGAAGUGUCAUUCCUUGCCUCUGUGUGAUGUACUUUCCCCUCUCCCUAGACUUCUCAGCAAUGCAAGAGCAGAGUGAAUAGAAUGGCUUCCAACCAACAGACUGCCGUGAGCGAAGAUAAUAUUGUAGCCUUCAGAAAACACAUGGAUAAUUAUACAUCUGGGGAGCUAAAGAGGCUGAGCGAGCAUUUCCGCCCUGACUUGGUCUACGUCAUAGAGAACGACAUUCUCACUGUGCUGCAGGAACUCACCA